UAAACCAAUCAAGCGUUGCUUGGUAUUAGGGCACGUGGUAUAGCGGCUCUCAAAUUUAUUAGCAGCGUCAGUGGGCUCUAAGCGUAGUAAUAUUUCUCGCUAUAGAGUUCCUUCUAGGGGCUUGCUAAAACCCCCCAACUCCUCAC
Molecule: unclassified non-coding RNA, 146 nt
Filed under: uncultured Helotiales
Lineage: Eukaryota; Fungi; Ascomycota; Leotiomycetes; Helotiales
Description: sequence contains ITS2
Source: RNAcentral